Molecule: ribosomal RNA, 432 nt
Filed under: uncultured bacterium
Lineage: Bacteria
Description: partial 16S ribosomal RNA
Rfam family: Bacterial small subunit ribosomal RNA
Source: RNAcentral
AGCGAACGCUGGCGGCAGGCUUAACACAUGCAAGUCGAGCGGGCACUUCGGUGUCAGCGGCAGACGGGUGAGUAACACGUGGGAACGUACCCUUCGGUUCGGAAUAACGCUGGGAAACUAGCGCUAAUACCGGAUACGCCCUUUUGGGGAAAGGUUUACUGCCGAAGGAUCGGCCCGCGUCUGAUUAGCUAGUUGGUGGGGUAAUGGCCUACCAAGGCGACGAUCAGUAGCUGGUCUGAGAGGAUGAUCAGCCACACUGGGACUGAGACACGGCCCAGACCCCCUCGGGAGGGAGGAGGGGGGAAUAUUGGAACAUGGGCGCAAGCCUGAUCCAGCCAUGCCGCGUGAGUGAUGAAGGCCUUAGGGUUGUAAAGCUCUUUUGUCCGGGACGAUAAUGACGGUACCGGAAGAAUAAGCCCCGGCUAACUUCGU